Molecule: ribosomal RNA, 207 nt
Filed under: uncultured bacterium
Lineage: Bacteria
Description: partial 16S ribosomal RNA
Rfam family: Bacterial small subunit ribosomal RNA
Source: RNAcentral
CGCGCAGGCGGUCUCGUAAGUCCCGUGUGAAAUCCCCCGGCUCAACUGGGGAAUGGCACGGGAAACUGCGAGGCUUGAGUUCGGGAGAGGGAAGCGGAAUUCCGGGUGUAGCGGUGAAAUGCGUAGAUAUCCGGAGGAACACCGGUGGCGAAGGCGGCUUCCUGGACCGACACUGACGCUGAGGCGCGAAAGCUAGGGGAGCAAACG